UCGGGCGUGGUGCAUGGUGCACGGCGGCUGCAUUUACAACCCCUCAUAGAAGACAUUAUGCGCUGGAGACCGGGGUUCGACUCCCUGCGCCCGAC
This is a non-coding RNA of Mycena rosella, 95 nucleotides long. Lineage: Eukaryota; Fungi; Basidiomycota; Agaricomycetes; Agaricales; Mycenaceae. The record is from the annotation of a GenBank genome assembly.